This 473-nucleotide ribosomal RNA is filed under the name Micrococcineae bacterium CL6.27. Its description in RNAcentral is "bacterial SSU rRNA". It matches the Rfam family "Bacterial small subunit ribosomal RNA", at positions 17 to 503 of the family's 1533-position model. Lineage: Bacteria; Bacillati; Actinomycetota; Actinomycetes; Micrococcales. The record is from RNAcentral.
CCCUGGCUCAGGACGAACGCUGGCGGCGUGCUUAACACAUGCAAGUCGAACGAUGAACUGGAGCUUGCUCCAGGGAUUAGUGGCGAACGGGUGAGUAACACGUGAGUAACCUGCCCUUGACUCUGGGAUAAGCGCUGGAAAUGGCGUCUAAUACCGGAUACGAGCUUCAGCCGCAUGGCUAGGAGUUGGAAAGAAUUUUGGUCAAGGAUGGACUCGCGGCCUAUCAGCUAGUUGGUGAGGUAAUGGCUCACCAAGGCGACGACGGGUAGCCGGCCUGAGAGGGUGACCGGCCACACUGGGACUGAGACACGGCCCAGACUCCUACGGGAGGCAGCAGUGGGGAAUAUUGCACAAUGGGCGAAAGCCUGAUGCAGCAACGCCGCGUGAGGGAUGACGGCCUUCGGGUUGUAAACCUCUUUUAGUAGGGAAGAAGCGAAAGUGACGGUACCUGCAGAAAAAGCACCGGCUAACUA